UAGUNAAGAAAUUUGCUAAGUGAUUGUUUCCAUAUUCGGGGAAACCUAGGUUGAGGAAAAUAAACAUAGUAGGUAAUCCUGAGCCAAAUUUUGUUUCCUUUACAAAAUAGGUGCAGAGACUCAAAGGAAACUAUCCAAACAAAAAUAAAUUAUUUAUUAAUUAUUAGUUCGUUCUACGAUGAAUUUUUAUAUUAAUAUAUAUUAAAAUAUAUACAUAUGAUAUAAGGAUAAAGAUAGAGUCCAUUUUUACACGCUAUAUUUGGCAACGAUGUGAGUCAUUGUAAAAAGAAAAUCCGUUGGCUUUUUAGACCGUGAGGGUUCAAGUCCCUC
This 330-nucleotide transfer RNA is filed under the name Scapania paludicola. RNAcentral describes it as "partial tRNA-Leu". The stretch from base 1 to 262 matches the Rfam family "Group I catalytic intron". Rfam says of the family: Group I catalytic introns are large self-splicing ribozymes. They catalyse their own excision from mRNA, tRNA and rRNA precursors in a wide range of organisms. Lineage: Eukaryota; Viridiplantae; Streptophyta; Jungermanniopsida; Jungermanniales; Scapaniaceae. The record is from RNAcentral.